This 26-nucleotide non-coding RNA is filed under the name Homo sapiens (human). The record is from RNAcentral. Lineage: Eukaryota; Metazoa; Chordata; Mammalia; Primates; Hominidae.
UAGUGUCACUGAUGAGGAUGAGUUGU